This is a non-coding RNA of Eptesicus fuscus (big brown bat), 96 nucleotides long. The record is from RefSeq and is marked provisional. NCBI's taxonomy places the organism in Eukaryota, Metazoa, Chordata, Mammalia, Chiroptera, Vespertilionidae.
ACUGGAUUGUCUGGCAUCGGGGCAGGAACUCUGGGGUGGCUUUCUCCCAGAUGGAGGUACUCAGAGGAAUCAUUGUUCCUAUGCUGGGACCUUCCC